UUUAUUGGAGAGUUUGAUCCUGGCUCAGGAUGAACGCUGGCGGCGUGCCUAAUACAUGCAAGUCGAGCGAAUGGAUUGAGAUCUUGCUCUCAAGAAGUUAGCGGCGGACGGGUGAGUAACACGUGGGUAACCUGCCCAUAAGACUGGGAUAACUCCGGGAAACCGGGGCUAAUACCGGAUAACAUUUUGAACUGCAUGGUUCGAAAUUGAAAGGCGGCUUCGGCUGUCACUU
This 232-nucleotide ribosomal RNA is filed under the name Bacillus cereus. RNAcentral's name for it is "partial 16S ribosomal RNA". It matches the Rfam family "Bacterial small subunit ribosomal RNA", at positions 1 to 220 of the family's 1533-position model. Lineage: Bacteria; Bacillati; Bacillota; Bacilli; Caryophanales; Bacillaceae. The record is from RNAcentral.